This is a long non-coding RNA of Olea europaea var. sylvestris, 528 nucleotides long. RefSeq lists it as uncharacterized. The transcript has 2 exons. The record is from RefSeq and is a predicted model, not a curated record. Lineage: Eukaryota; Viridiplantae; Streptophyta; Magnoliopsida; Lamiales; Oleaceae.
AUAAAUGGACCCUUUCACUUGAAUGACACACUCGUAUUCAAGUUUGAUCCCCCAAACGACACGACAUUUCCUCACAGUGUUUACCUGCUUCCAAAUUUAUGGAGUUUCCAAAACUGUGAUUUGAGAAGAGCAAAGAAGAUCGCACAAGCGACACAAGGAGGAGGAGAAGGUUUUGAGUUUGUGCUUAAGACAUGGCAGCCCUAUUAUUUUGCCUGUGGCGAACGCAACGGAUUUCAUUGCAAAACUGGGAUGAUGAAAUUUGUCGUUUGGCCACUCUUCCGUUGGUAUUAACGGCCAAAAAACUGCUUCGUACAAUUACACGCGCGCGCGCGCUCUUCGAGCUAUAAUUGUGUUGCUCAAUAUAUAUUUUCUUUUCCGAGGACUGGUUUGAAUAAUGUUUUGAACAAAUAAAGGUAGAUGUCUGUCUUAAUUAGAGCAUUAAUUUCAUGUAUUGGAGAUUUGUGUUUUGUUUCCCUUUAAAGUUCGAUCUUUUCUUCUAUGAAACAAGUUAUUUAGAGCAUAAUGUUA